GACGAACGCUGGCGGCGUGCUUAACACAUGCAAGUCGAGCGGAAAGGCCCUUCGGGGUCCUCGAGCGGCGAACGGGUGAGUAACACGUGAGUAACCUGCCCUAGGCUUUGGGAUAACCCCGGGAAACCGGGGCUAAUACCGGAUAUGACCUGGUGCCGCAUGGUGUUGGGUGGAAAGUUUUUUCGGCCUGGGAUGGGCUCGCGGCCUAUCAGCUUGUUGGUGGGGUGAUGGCCUACCAAGGCGAUGACGGGUAGCCGGCCUGAGAGGGCGACCGGCCACACUGGGACUGAGACACGGCCCAGACUCCUACGGGAGGCAGCAGUGGGGAAUAUUGCACAAUGGGCGGAAGCCUGAUGCAGCGACGCCGUGUGAGGGAUGAAGGCCUUCGGGUUGUAAACCUCUUUCAGCAGGGACGAAGCGUGAGUGACGGUACCUGCAGAAGAAGCGCCGGCCAACUACGU
Molecule: ribosomal RNA, 461 nt
Filed under: uncultured bacterium
Lineage: Bacteria
Description: partial 16S ribosomal RNA
Rfam family: Bacterial small subunit ribosomal RNA
Source: RNAcentral